UUUUACAAAACACUUUCACCUAUUAUAACUUCCAUUCGAUUACCGUUGUAAAAAAAUGGCAGGUUAUAUAGUCACUGUUGUAGUGGGCGGUAGGUUAUAUAGUCACUGUUGUAGUGGGCGGUAGGUAGGUUAUAUAGUCACUGUUGUAGUGGGCGGUAGGUAGGUUAUAUAGUUACUGUUGUAGUGGGCGGUAGGUAGGUUAUAUAGUCACUGUUGCAGUGGGCGGUAGGUAGGUUAUAUAGUCACUGUUGCAGUGGGCGGUAGGUAGGUUAUAUAGUCACUGUUGUAGUGGGCGGUAGGUAGGUUAUAUAGUCACUGUUGUAGUGGGCGGUAGGUAGGUUAUAUAGUCACUGUUGUAGUGGGCGGUAGGUAGGUUAUAUAGUCACUGUUGUAGUGGGCGGUAGGUAGGUUAUAUAGUCACUGUUGUAGUGGGCGGUAGGUAGGUUAUAUAGUCACUGUUGUAGUGGGCGGUAGGUAGGUUAUAUAGUCACUGUUGUAGUGGGCGGUAGGUAGGUUAAAUAGUUACUGUUGCAGUGGGCGGUAGGUAGGUUAAAUAGUCACUGUUGCAGUGGGCGGUAGGUAGGUUAAAUAGUCACUGUUGUAGUGGGCGGUAGGUAGGUUAUAUAGUCACUGUUGUAGUGGGCGGUAGGUAGGUUAUAUAGUCACUGUUGUAGUGGGCGGUAGGUAGGUUAUAUAAUCACUGUUGUAGUGGGCGGUAGGUAGGUUAUAUAGUCACUGUUGUAGUGGGCGGUAGGUAGGUUAUAUAGUCACUGUUGUAGUGGGCGGUAGGUAGGUUAUAUAGUCACUGUUGUAGUGGGCGGUAGGUAGGUUAUAUAGUCACUGUUGUAGUGGGCGGUAGGUAGGUUAUAUAGUCACUGUUGUAGUGGGCGGUAGGUAGGUUAAAUAGUCACUGUUGUAGUGGGCGGUAGGUAGGUUAUAUAGUCACUGUUGCUUUACAGCACUUCCUGUUCUACUGUAAUUAAGUGAAGGCGUUACAGCACUUCCUGUUCUACUGUAAUUAAGUUAAGGCGUGUGCGUUACAGCGCUUCCUGUUCUGCUGUAAUU
Oncorhynchus tshawytscha (Chinook salmon) is the source of this 1065-nucleotide long non-coding RNA. RefSeq lists it as uncharacterized. The transcript is spliced from 3 exons. The record is from RefSeq and is a predicted model, not a curated record. NCBI's taxonomy places the organism in Eukaryota, Metazoa, Chordata, Actinopteri, Salmoniformes, Salmonidae.